GACGUAGGGCGCGAGCGUUGUCCGGAUUUAUUGGGCGUAAAGAGCUCGUAGGUGGCCUGUCGCGUCGGCUGUGAAAACUCGGGGCUCAACUCCGAGCUUGCAGUCGAUACGGGCAGGCUAGAGUUCGGCAGGGGGAGACUGGAAUUCCGUGGUGUAGCGGUGAAAUGCGCAGAUAUCAGGAGGAACACCGGUGGCGAAGGCGGGACUCUGGGCCGAUACUGACGCUGAGGAGCGAAAGCGUGGGGAGCAAACAGG
This 255-nucleotide ribosomal RNA is filed under the name uncultured bacterium. RNAcentral describes it as "partial 16S ribosomal RNA". It matches the Rfam family "Bacterial small subunit ribosomal RNA", at positions 524 to 776 of the family's 1533-position model. The record is from RNAcentral.